Amphiprion ocellaris (clown anemonefish) is the source of this 2032-nucleotide long non-coding RNA. The record is from Ensembl. Lineage: Eukaryota; Metazoa; Chordata; Actinopteri; Pomacentridae.
CUUUGGGGCAUUUAAUUAUAAGAAACAUACAUACAAUUAUCUGUUAAAUGUGGAUGUUUUGUCACCUGCUUUCAUUUCAAUAAAUGUGCAAAUAAUUGAAUGUUUCAGCAAAAAUCAGAGAUUAGACAAAAACUGCGUUUAAUGAUGUCACAUCCCCUCAGACGUUUCUGCUGCUCCCAUUGGAUGUUGGAAGUCACAUGACUGCUGGAUGAGGAAGUAUCUGGAAGAACAGGUGUAUAAGUGAGGCAGCAUGGGGAGUUUUCAGCUCGCUAUACCUGGCAGCUACAGCAGCAACAAGCUGCUGAUACUCGUGAUUUUACUUGAGCAGCAGUUUUAGUGAAGACGUUUCUGCUGCUCCCAUUGGAUGUUGGAAGUCACAUGACUGCUGGAUGAGGAAGUAUCUGGAAGAACAGGUGUAUAAGUGAGGCAGCAUGGGGAGUUUUCAGCUCGCUAUACCUGGAAAUUCAAACUUCCAGCAGCUACAUGAGCAACAAGCUGCUGAUGCUCAUGUGCUUUUACUGGAGCAGGAAUUUUAUUGAAGAAAUUCAAACUUCCAGCAGCUACGACGGCAAAAAGCUGCUGAUACUCAUGGUUUUACUGGAGCGGGAGUUUUAUUGAAGCCUACAGGUUAUUGUGAAGAAAAAGGAAGUUAUCAAGCCAAUUUCAUAAAGAAAUUCAAACUUCCAGCGGCUACAACAGCAACAAGCUGCUGAUGCUCAUGUGCUUUUACUGGAGCAGGAGUUAUAUUGAAGUGUAAUCUGUUACCAGGAGCGUCCAGAUGGAGGCGGUGUGGCUCUUCCCUCAGAGCAGACAUGACUCACCACAGCUGACUCGUGCUGCAGCAUCACUUCAUUAUCUCAUUCACAAAAAAAAAAAAAAAAAUACAACCAUUAACUCCUCGGCGGGGCACUUGUGAGGAAUAUCAACUAAAUGAAAGGCUGCGAGAGCCAUAAAAGCAGCGCAAUCACAUCGAGCUACUUAAUUUGAUGGACUAUUUUAUCUGGAUACGCUGCAUUUAUUGUAUCUCCAUUAAAAGGUCAUGUUGGCUCUAAAUCAAGACGCUUAAUGGCCUGAGCAUUUGCCAACAGUAAGGGGAGAAAAAUAGCAAUUGUUAGAAGACAAACAGCCAGCACUGUUAAAAUAAUUGAAAGUAAUGAAAAGGAUUGGACGAUAGAAAACUUUAAGUCAAUAUAGUAUAUAAGCCCCAUUCAUAUGCAUUUCCAUAAUAGUAGCAGGUUUAUUUGCAUAUUUAAAAGAUAUAGAAAUGGGUGUCUUUCCAAUAUAUUCCUAAUAUUAAUAUCUGCAGAGAAAUUUAUUAGUAAAAAGUAAAAUUUCCCAGCUUUAGUGUCUAUUUUCUAAAUCAACAAAUUGAACUAAAAAGUUUCAGAAAAUAUGAAAAAAAUACAAUAAACCUCACAAUAAAUUGAUUUUUUUUCCCCAAGUUUUUGAAAUAAUCAGUUGAGCUGCAGAAAUCAUCAAAUUCAACAAUAGAUGUGAAGAAAUGACAUGAAAUCUCACAAUUUCUGGCAAUUUAUUCCAAAAAACCUCUAGGAUUUUUCAACUUAACUGUGUGUUUUCUGAAGCAAUCGAACCACUGAGCUGCAGAAAUCCUCAAACUGAACAUAAAAGUUUCAGAAAAUGUGAAAAACUAACAUUCAAUAUCUACAUUUGUUGAGAGAUUUAAUGUAAUUUCUAGCAAUUUAUCAUUAAAAAGCAGGAAUUCUUAACUUUGGUGACUGUUUUAAAUAUUAAUCAAACUUCUGAGCUGCAAAAAUCACCAAAUUGUACAAGAAAGUUUCAGUUAAUAUGAAGAAAUUACAUUAAAUAUCACUGUUUCUUUUGAAAUUUAAUGACAUUUCUAGCAAUUUAUUUUAAAAGGCUAUAUUUUUUCAAGUUUAGUGUCUGUUUAAGGAAUCAAUCAAACUUCUGAGCUGCAAAAAUCACCAACUUGUGGAAGAAAAUUUCAGCAAUAUAGAAACAUGACAUUAAAACUUACAAUUUAUCGCGCGAUUUAAUGUAAUAUCUGGUAAUU